GUGAUCAGUAUCACGUAUCUUGAUGCCAACUUUAGAUUUGUUUCGCGAUUGUUCUGGCCAUUGAGUGGGGAGUCGACGGCCUCUUUGUUCUUCCCCGCAGGGCCCAAAGCGGAGAUACUCCAUACACGUCGCCUCGCCGUUCGAAGCAACUAGUCGCCGUUGGUCGCUCCCUUGAUGGGAAAAAUUAAGAGCCGGUCUGAUCUGCUGCCAAGAUGCAUGGAUUUGGACACCUGUUAAAACCAGUGUCUCUCUGAAGAUAAUUUUGACUCACUCUUCAGAAAUCUCAUGGAUUUAUCAAACUCGGUAGCCGAGCAUGAGGAAGUGGAAAAAGAGUGGGUGAUAGUUAAAAAACAAAGGAUUGUCAUUUUGAUUCCCCCACCAUCACCUGUAGACCAACCUGAGAGUCCUGAGGCAAAUUCUACCAAGUCAACGAAAAUCAUCAGGAGGAGCUCAGGUAAUCCAAAGAAAAGGGGUCGCAGGCUCUCGAACAGCCGAAGCUAUAAACCUACUGCAACCAUUUCUAAGGGUAAAUCUCAUAUUGAGGUUGAACUUAAACCUUCUGCAAAACCUUCUGAAAAUGGAACUCAAACUGAUGGUGAGCGACUGGGAUAUCAAAGAUCAUUGCAAAACCUUGUUUCUCCAGUUGCAAUCGGUACUACAGAUAAUAUUCAGCAUCAUGCAUCUCGGAUGCCAUUGAUGCAGCAUGCACCACUAACUCAUGAACUCAUAAAUGGAAAUUGUAUGGUUUAUUCCAAAAUGCAAACAUUCAUGUUCUCAAGAAAAACUGGAGGCAUUCCAAGGCUACCAAUUUGUAUGUCAAAGGUUGCAAAUUGGAGAUUGCGCGCAUUAAACCUUGAGAGGAAACUCCAAAUAUUGGGAGGGCUUAGAACCUGGUUGGUCUCAGCGGGGCUCGGUCAAUUCAUUCAUAUUUUUGAGAAGGAAAAAGUGGGAAUUUAUCAGUUAGUCAAUCUUACAAUGAGCAAACUCAAAGAUAUGGGUGCAGAUGCAGUUGGGCCAAGGAGGAAGCUGAUUCAUGCCAUCGAGUGUCUCUGCAAUCCUUACUACACCGAGGAAUGCAGUAAUUAAACUAUUCAAAUGAAUAUCUCCUUCUGUAUCUCCAUCAACUUUCUGUUCCUCUUUGCUGCAUAAAAAUUUUGAUGCUACAUAUACCGACAUAUGCUAUGGAAAAAGGUAUAAGACGUCUGCUCUCACUCGUGGAUACUGGAUACCAACAUUCUCAGUGAUCAGAAAAUUUGUGGCUUAACAAUUUAUCAAGAUUAUAUUGUUCAUGUACAUGUCGAAAUUGUUAUCUCAUACAGUAGACUGAAACUCUGGGCUUGUACUUAAAUAUGCUUCAGGAUGAAGUUAAGAUUUUAGUCAGAAAAGUUGCUGAAAAUGAUGCCAAAGUCAGGUGACAUAAGACAUUUUAGCCAUUAUUCUAUUGGUUGCACCAGUUGCUGAAAAUGAUAACUGGAGUUGAAAUCCAUCGUGUUAGACCUUUCAAGUCAAGCUCUGGAACCCCACUCAAAACUUAUGCUCUUUAUUCCUAGAUUUUUGCGUGUGGUAAUGGCUUAAAUCCUCAUGUAUUAGCAAUUACAAGAACAGGGCUCUAUUCUUUAUUAUAUUGUGGGUUCCCUGCAGAUCAAAUCAUACUACAAGCAUUUGAAUUCUGAAUCCUUCAGUCUUGAAGGAACUCGUCGAUCUUGUGCGGUUGGUUGACCAACUUCUCUUGCUUUCGGUUGAUGCAUGUAGAACUUCUGGUGUAACAACAGCUGCUAAGAUUCAACCCCCCAAGUCAGCAAAUGUCAUCAGACAAGGAGCCUUCAGCUUAAGCGAAUCCACAGACUCAAAUAAGGAUCAGAUUGUCGCCAAUAAUGUCAAAGCACUGCAGAAUUAGCGGACUGGACAGAGUCACAAACAACUACGGUUUGUCUCUGCCCUCAUUUCUCCACUCCUGAAACCAUCCUCGAUUCCUACUCCAAUCACUGUACUUUCUUCCACAAACACCCUGUGUGCAAGAUCCCUCGACCGGGCGGCCAUGGCAGCAACC
This is an RNA transcript of Musa acuminata AAA Group (dessert banana), 2050 nucleotides long. RefSeq lists it as uncharacterized. Lineage: Eukaryota; Viridiplantae; Streptophyta; Magnoliopsida; Zingiberales; Musaceae. The record is from RefSeq and is a predicted model, not a curated record. The transcript is spliced from 3 exons.